RNAcentral lists this ribosomal RNA (466 nucleotides) under uncultured bacterium. RNAcentral's name for it is "partial 16S ribosomal RNA". It matches the Rfam family "Bacterial small subunit ribosomal RNA", at positions 28 to 507 of the family's 1533-position model. The record is from RNAcentral.
GAUGAACGCUGGCGGCGUGCUUAACACAUGCAAGUCGAACGGAAAGGCCCAAGCUUGCUUGGGUACUCGAGUGGCGAACGGGUGAGUAACACGUGGGUGAUCUGCCCUGCACUUCGGGAUAAGCCUGGGAAACUGGGUCUAAUACCGGAUAGGACCACAUUUUGGAUGGUGUGGUGGAAAGUUUUUCGGUGUGGGAUGAGCUCGCGGCCUAUCAGCUUGUUGGUGGGGUAAUGGCCUACCAAGGCGUCGACGGGUAGCCGGCCUGAGAGGGUGUACGGCCACAUUGGGACUGAGAUACGGCCCAGACUCCUACGGGAGGCAGCAGUGGGGAAUAUUGCACAAUGGGCGCAAGCCUGAUGCAGCGACGCCGCGUGGGGGAUGACGGCCUUCGGGUUGUAAACUCCUUUCGCUAGGGACGAAGCGUUAUGUGACGGUACCUGGAGAAGAAGCACCGGCUAACUACGAG